UCCUCCGUGGCGCAAUUGGCUAGCGCGUCUGACUGUUACGUCGGUAGCGACGAGGCGAUCAGGAGGUUCGUGGUUCGAGCCCACGCGGGGGAG
Bimuria novae-zelandiae CBS 107.79 is the source of this 93-nucleotide non-coding RNA. Lineage: Eukaryota; Fungi; Ascomycota; Dothideomycetes; Pleosporales; Didymosphaeriaceae. The record is from the annotation of a GenBank genome assembly.